This 208-nucleotide microRNA precursor is filed under the name Oryza nivara. RNAcentral's name for it is "MIR812 microRNA precursor family". It matches the Rfam family "MIR812 microRNA precursor family". Lineage: Eukaryota; Viridiplantae; Streptophyta; Magnoliopsida; Poales; Poaceae. The record is from Rfam by way of RNAcentral.
AAUAGGUGCAGUUUUGCACUAUUUACGUUCAACGUUUGACCGUUUGUCUUAUUUGAAAAUUUUUUAUUAUUAGUAUUUUUAUUGCUAUUAGAUGAUAAAACAUGAAUAAUACUUUAUGUGUGACUAAAUAUUUUUAAUUUUUUUACAAAAUUUUCAAAUAAGAUGGACGGUCAAACGUUGGGCAUGGAUAUCCACAGCUGCACUUAUU